This 444-nucleotide ribosomal RNA is filed under the name uncultured bacterium. RNAcentral describes it as "bacterial SSU rRNA". It matches the Rfam family "Bacterial small subunit ribosomal RNA", at positions 336 to 795 of the family's 1533-position model. The record is from RNAcentral.
UUCCUACGGGCGGCAGCAGUGAGGAAUCUUCCACAAUGGGGGCAACCCUGAUGGAGCAACGCCGCGUGAAGGAUGAAGGCCCUCGGGUUGUAAACUUCUUUUAUGAGUGAAGAAUAUGACGGUAACUCAUGAAUAAGCACCGGCUAACUACGUGCCAGCAGCCGCGGUCAUACGUAGGGUGCAAGCAUUAUCCGGAGUGACUGGGCGUAAAGAGUUGCGUAGGCGGCUUAAUAAGUGAAUAGUGAAACCUGGUGGCUCAACCAUACAGACUAUUAUUCAAACUGUUAAGCUCGAGAAUGGUAGAGGUAACUGGAAUUUCUUGUGUAGGAGUGAAAUCCGUAGAUAUAAGAAGGAACACCAAUGGCGUAGGCAGGUUACUGGACCAUUUCUGACGCUAAGGCACGAAAGCGUGGGGAGCGAACCGGAUUAGAUACCCGUGUAGUC